This 497-nucleotide ribosomal RNA is filed under the name uncultured bacterium. RNAcentral's name for it is "partial 16S ribosomal RNA". It matches the Rfam family "Bacterial small subunit ribosomal RNA", at positions 28 to 507 of the family's 1533-position model. The record is from RNAcentral.
GAUGAACGCUGGCGGCGUGCCUAAUACAUGCAAGUCGAGCGAACGGACGAUAAUCUUGCUUCUCUGAUGUUAGCGGCUGACGUGUGAGUAACACGUUUAUAACCUACCUAUAAUACUGGUAUAACUUCGGGAAACCUUAUCUAAUACCGGCUGAUAUUUUGAACCUCAUUGUUCAAUAGUUUAAUACUUUCUUUCUUUCACUUAUAGAUUGUUCCGCGCUGCAUUAGCUAGUUGGUAAGGUAACGGCUUACCAAGGCAACGAUGGAUAGCCGACCUGAGAGGGUGAUCGGACACACUGGAAGUGAGACACGGAACAGAGAACUAAGGGAGGCAGCAGAAGGGAAUGUGACGCAAAGGGCGAAAGCAUGACGGAGCAAAGGCGAGGGAGAGAAGAAGGAGUUAGGAUCGUAAAAAUGUGUUAUGAGGGAAGAAAAAAAGUGUAAGAAAAAGUGAACAGAAUGACGGUAACAAAAAAGAAAGCAACGGCUAACUACGUG